Molecule: small RNA, 581 nt
Filed under: Pongo abelii (Sumatran orangutan)
Lineage: Eukaryota; Metazoa; Chordata; Mammalia; Primates; Hominidae
Description: retained intron
Source: RNAcentral
AAGUGACGCGAGGCUCUGCGGAGACCAGGAGUUAGACUGUAGGACGAUCUCGGGCACCACGUGUUCCUGGUACUCGCCGGCCGGAGCCCCCGGCUUCCCGGGGCCGGGGGACCUUAGCGGCACCCACACACAGCCUACUUUCCAAGCGGAGCCAUGUCUGGUAACGGCAAUGCGGCUGCAACGGCGGAAGAAAACAGCCCAAAGAUGAGAGUGAUUCGUGUGGGUACCCGCAAGAGCCAGCUUGCUCGCAUACAGACGGACAGUGUGGUGGCAACAUUGAAAGCCUUGUACCCUGGCCUGCAGUUUGAAAUCAGUGAGUUUUCUGGAAAGGAGUGGAAGCUAAUGGGAAGCCCAGUACCCCAAGAGGGGAGAACACAACAUUUCUGGCUUUGCCUAUAGCUGAAGCCCGUCCUGCUGCCCCGAGAUUCCCUCUGGGCUGCUCCCAGUUCCGAAGGUGCUUUCCUCUGAAUACCUCCAGCUCUGACUACCUGGAUUAGCCUGGCAUUUAACAUCUUGAGCUUUGGGUCUGUUUAUGAGUGUUUCUGGUCUUCCUGCUUGAUUGUAUAUACUCAGAGGGCAGG